Non-coding RNA from Hordeum vulgare subsp. vulgare (domesticated barley), 125 nucleotides. The record is from Rfam. Lineage: Eukaryota; Viridiplantae; Streptophyta; Magnoliopsida; Poales; Poaceae.
AAGAUACUCCCUGUGUCCGAAAUUAUUUGUCAAAUAAACAUAUGUAUAUAGACGUAUUUUAGUUUUAAAUACAUCCAUUGUUAUCCAUUUUGGCGACAAGUAAUUCUGGAUGGAGAGAGUAUAUA